Molecule: ribosomal RNA, 263 nt
Filed under: uncultured bacterium
Lineage: Bacteria
Description: partial 16S ribosomal RNA
Rfam family: Bacterial small subunit ribosomal RNA
Source: RNAcentral
GUCCACGCCGUAAACGAUGUCUGCUAGCCGUUGGGUCGCUUGACGACUCAGUGGCGGAGCUAACGCGAUAAGCAGACCGCCUGGGGAGUACGGCCGCAAGGUUAAAACUCAAAUGAAUUGACGGGGGCCCGCACAAGCGGUGGAGUAUGUGGUUUAAUUCGACGCAACGCGAAAAACCUUACCUGGUCUUGACAUCCACGGAAUCCUGCAGAGAUGCGGGAGUGCCUUCGGGAGCCGUGAGACAGGUGCUGCAUGGCUGUCGU